UCCUACGGGGGGCAGCAGUGGGGAAUAUUGCACAAUGGGGGAAACCCUGAUGCAGCAACGCCGCGUGAGCGACGAAGGCCUUCGGGUUGUAAAGCUCUGUCUUCGCUGACGAAUAAAUGACGGUAAGCGAGGAGGAAGCCACGGCUAACUACGUGCCAGCAGCCGCGGUAAUACGUAGGUGGCAAGCGUUGUCCGGAAUUAUUGGGCGUAAAGGGUGCGUAGGCGGUCUUUUAAGUGGGAUGUGAAAUACCUAGGCUUAACUUAGGAAUGGCAUUCCAAACUGGAAGACUAGAGUGCAGGAGAGGAAAGUGGAAUUCCCAGUGUAGCGGUGAAAUGCGUAGAGAUUGGGAGGAACACCAGUGGCGAAGGCGACUUUCUGGACUGUAACUGACGCUGAGGCACGAAAGCGUGGGGAGCAAACAGGAUUAGAUACCCCGGUAGC
RNAcentral lists this ribosomal RNA (442 nucleotides) under uncultured bacterium. RNAcentral describes it as "bacterial SSU rRNA". It matches the Rfam family "Bacterial small subunit ribosomal RNA", at positions 337 to 794 of the family's 1533-position model. The record is from RNAcentral.